This 191-nucleotide ribosomal RNA is filed under the name uncultured Methanomicrobiales archaeon. RNAcentral's name for it is "partial 16S ribosomal RNA". It matches the Rfam family "Archaeal small subunit ribosomal RNA", at positions 1148 to 1338 of the family's 1478-position model. Lineage: Archaea; Methanobacteriati; Methanobacteriota; Methanomicrobia; Methanomicrobiales. The record is from RNAcentral.
CGUAUGCCCCCGAAUUAUCUGGGCUACACGCGGGCUACAAUGGGUGGGACAAUGGGUAUCGACACCGAAAGGUGAAGGCAAUCUCCUAAACCCAUCCGUAGUUCGGAUUGUGGGCUGCAACCCGCCCACAUGAAGCUGGAAUCUGUAGUAAUCGUGUCUCAAAUGGCACGGUGAAUAUGUCCCUGCUCCUU